CUGAACGCCUCUAAGUCAGAAUCCGUGCUAGAAACGAUGAUGUUGGUGUCGCACAUUAGACUUGUGUUUAAUAGAGCUUUGCUCGUGAACCAAAUAUGGUGGGCUGGGUUGUCUUUGCGGAAACGCUUGGGCGACUUGUCUACGAAUUGUAAUCAUAAUAUGGGCGGCGGUGAAUCCUUUGCAGACGACUUGAAUGGGAACGGGGUACUGUAAGUGGUAGAGUAGCCUUGUUGCUACGAUCCACUGAGGUUAAGCCCUUGUUCUAAAGAUUUGUUCA
This 277-nucleotide ribosomal RNA is filed under the name Armillaria cepistipes. RNAcentral describes it as "partial 26S ribosomal RNA". It matches the Rfam family "Eukaryotic large subunit ribosomal RNA", at positions 3120 to 3401 of the family's 3401-position model. Lineage: Eukaryota; Fungi; Basidiomycota; Agaricomycetes; Agaricales; Physalacriaceae. The record is from RNAcentral.